CAAGUCGAACGGUAACGCGGGGCAACCUGGCGACGAGUGGCGAACGGGUGAGUAACGCAUCGGAACGUGCCCAGUAGUGGGGGAUAGCCCGGCGAAAGCCGGAUUAAUACCGCAUACGACCUAAGGGUGAAAGCGGGGGAUCGCAAGACCUUGCGCUAUUGGAGCGGCCGAUGUCAGAUUAGGUAGUUGGUGGGGUAAAGGCCUACCAAGCCUGCGAUCUGUAGCUGGUCUGAGAGGGCGACCAGCCACACUGGGACUGAGACACGGCCCAGACUCCUACGGGAGGCAGCAGUGGGGAAUUUUGGACAAUGGGGGAAACCCUGAUCCAGCCAUGCCGCGUGCGGGAAGAAGGCCUUCGGGUUGUAAACCGCUUUUGUCAGGGAAGAAAAGGCGCAGUUUAAUACAUUGCGACAAUGACGGUACCUGAAGAAUAAGCACCGGCUAACUACGUGCCAGCAGCCGCGGUAAUACGUAGGGUGCGAGCGUUAAUCGGAAUUACUGGGCGUAAAGCGUGCGCAGGCGGUUAUGCAAGACAGAUGUGAAAUCCCCGAGCUCAACUUGGGAACGGCAUUUGUGACUGCAUGGCUUGAGUGCGGCAGAGGGGGAUGGAAUUCCGCGUGUAUCAAAGAAAUGCGUA
Molecule: ribosomal RNA, 637 nt
Filed under: uncultured Comamonas sp.
Lineage: Bacteria; Pseudomonadati; Pseudomonadota; Betaproteobacteria; Burkholderiales; Comamonadaceae
Description: bacterial SSU rRNA
Rfam family: Bacterial small subunit ribosomal RNA
Source: RNAcentral